CAAUUUUCUUUUUGCUACUGCCUAUCCCAGUCAUUUUAAAGAUAGCUCUGGUUUGUGCAGUGCAAUCACAGUAACCACAGUAUCACAGGGCGGGAAACAGUCUUCGGCACAAGCAAUAUUGUGCCCUUUCAUUAUAGAUGGGACAUUCUGUCCAGUAACAUAUAAAGUAUAGAGACACUGCUAUUCAGUUCUUUGGAUUGUCUGCAUGGUGGGUGUUUGCCUAUUACUUUUGGCUAGUCAGGCUCUUUUUCAUGCUCUCCCUUUCCUAAAAAGGCCAUCCUCCUUGUAGAACAUGCAAUUUUUGGAGCAAUAGUCAGCUGUGCAAGACUGACUGUUGAGAUAACCCAAACAGGAUAUUUUCAUCUGUCAAACAGCUGUCAGCAAUUGUCUAAAUGGGUCUUGAACAGAAAUACAAAAAAUGUGCUGCUCUCCACCAUAUAGACACUUCUUGAAGAACAAUGCUGCCUUUUAGGAUACAUUUGACAGAAGGGAUCAAACCCCAAGAGACUAUUAUGACUGUGAUGCAUCUCCUCCUCUACUACACUCAGUAAGUUUCAAUUUUCUCAUCUGUUUGGAUGAUAGGUCCUAUUAUUCUUUGAUUUUAAGCUGUAUUCUCCUUUGCAAUCUCAUGUCUAUCAUAGAAUCACAGAAUCAUUAAGGUUGGAAAAGACCUCUAAGAUCAUCCAGUCCAACCUCAACCCAUCCUCACCAUGCCCACUGACCACAUCCUUCAGUGCAACAUCUACAAUGCUUCUUGAACAUCUUUGGGGACUGUGAAUCCACCAACCCCCCAGGCAGCCUGUUCCAGUGCUAUGUUAUGUA
RNAcentral lists this long non-coding RNA (822 nucleotides) under Coturnix japonica (Japanese quail). RNAcentral describes it as "lncRNA (ENSCJPG00005003213.1)". The record is from RNAcentral. Lineage: Eukaryota; Metazoa; Chordata; Aves; Galliformes; Phasianidae.